RNAcentral lists this ribosomal RNA (465 nucleotides) under uncultured Klebsiella sp. RNAcentral's name for it is "bacterial SSU rRNA". It matches the Rfam family "Bacterial small subunit ribosomal RNA", at positions 338 to 795 of the family's 1533-position model. Lineage: Bacteria; Pseudomonadati; Pseudomonadota; Gammaproteobacteria; Enterobacterales; Enterobacteriaceae. The record is from RNAcentral.
CCUACGGGUGGCUGCAGUGGGGAAUAUUGCACAAUGGGCGCAAGCCUGAUGCAGCCAUGCCGCGUGUGUGAAGAAGGCCUUCGGGUUGUAAAGCACCUUCAGCGGGGAGGAAGGCGGUGAGGUUAAUAACCUCAUCGAUUGACGUUACCCGCUGAAGAAGCACCGGCUAACUCCGUGCCAGCAGCCGCGGUAAUACGGAGGGUGCAAGCGUUAAUCGGAAUUACUGGGCGUAAAGCGCACGCAGGCGGUCUGUCAAGUCGGAUGUGAAAUCCCCGGGCUCAACCUGGGAACUGCAUUCGAAACUGGCAGGCUAGAGUCUUGUAGAGGGGGGUAGAAUUCCAGGUGUAGCGGUGAAAUGCGUAGAGAUCUGGAGGAAUACCGGUGGCGAAGGCGGCCCCCUGGACAAAGACUGACGCUCAGGUGCGAAAGCGUGGGGAGCAAACAGGAUUAGAUACCCGAGUAGUC